CCAAUAGCGUAUAUUAGUGUUGUUGCGGUUAAAAAGCUCGUAGUUGAAUUUCGGGAUUGGGAUAUAUCGGUCGUGCCUUUAGGGGCAUGAAUCAGUGUGUGGCCAAUUCUCACCUUCUGGUGAAUUGGGAUGCUCUCGGGUGUUUCAAUGAACUAGGACUUUUACUUUGAAAAAAUUAGAGUGUUUAAAGCGGGCAUUUUUGCUUGAAUACGUUAGCAUGGAAUAAUAAAAUAGGACGAUGGUUCUAUUUUGUUGGUUUUAGGACCACGUAAUGAUUAAUAGGGAUAGUUGGGGGCAUUAGUAUUCAAUUGUCAGAGGUGAAAUUCUUGGAUUUAUUGAGGACUAACUAUUGCGAAAGCAUUUGCCAAGGAUGUUUUCAUUAAUCAAGAACGAAAGUUAGGGGAUCAAAGACGAUUUAUGUACGUCGUAGUCUUAACCAUAAACUAUGCCGACUAGGAAUCAGACAAAGUUAAUUUUUUAACGACUUGUUUGGUACCUUACG
RNAcentral lists this ribosomal RNA (502 nucleotides) under uncultured Glomeromycotina. RNAcentral describes it as "partial small subunit ribosomal RNA". It matches the Rfam family "Eukaryotic small subunit ribosomal RNA", at positions 591 to 1092 of the family's 1831-position model. The record is from RNAcentral. Lineage: Eukaryota; Fungi; Glomeromycota.